Long non-coding RNA from Homo sapiens (human), 569 nucleotides. RefSeq lists it as uncharacterized. Lineage: Eukaryota; Metazoa; Chordata; Mammalia; Primates; Hominidae. The record is from RefSeq and is a predicted model, not a curated record. The transcript is spliced from 3 exons.
CCUUCUCGCCCCUUCUCGCGUCUUCGCCCCUUCGCCCCUUCGCCCCUUCGCCCCUUCAGGUCAAUGGGCUCCUGGUAGCUGCAGGAACCCCGCCCCGCUGAGCCUAGGCCAGUCAGUGGUCAGUGGUCCCAGAGCUCACCUUCGGCGGUGGGCCGGGCCUUCACCACCCUGGUGACUUUGGUCCAGCUUGGCUGCCUAAUCCUCUACAAAAAUGCGAAGAAAGUAAACCAACAUGUACAAACACGAGUAAACGCAGGAAUAGGCGAGGGAAUGGUCAUCUCCAUGGCAGUGACGUUCCACGGUGCGAAUGGGCAGAGAGAGCCAGUGGCUUCCGGCCUUACAUAACCUUCUCACCUGGGAAGGGCCCCCUGUCCGGUGGACACGUGACUUGCAUGACCUUACCUAUCAUUGGAGACGACUCACACUCCUUACCCUGCCCUCUUGCCUUGUAUACAAUAAAUAACAGCAUGGCCAGGCAUUCAGGGCCACUACCAGUCUCCGUGCCUUGGUGGUAGUGGUCCCCUGGGCCCAGCUGUCUUUUCUUCUAUCUCUUUGUCUUGUGUCUUUAU